Molecule: ribosomal RNA, 2515 nt
Filed under: Escherichia coli
Lineage: Bacteria; Pseudomonadati; Pseudomonadota; Gammaproteobacteria; Enterobacterales; Enterobacteriaceae
Description: bacterial LSU rRNA
Rfam family: Bacterial large subunit ribosomal RNA
Source: RNAcentral
GCCUGAAUCAGUGUGUGUGUUAGUGGAAGCGUCUGGAAAGGCGCGCGAUACAGGGUGACAGCCCCGUACACAAAAAUGCACAUGCUGUGAGCUCGAUGAGUAGGGCGGGACACGUGGUAUCCUGUCUGAAUAUGGGGGGACCAUCCUCCAAGGCUAAAUACUCCUGACUGACCGAUAGUGAACCAGUACCGUGAGGGAAAGGCGAAAAGAACCCCGGCGAGGGGAGUGAAAAAGAACCUGAAACCGUGUACGUACAAGCAGUGGGAGCACGCUUAGGCGUGUGACUGCGUACCUUUUGUAUAAUGGGUCAGCGACUUAUAUUCUGUAGCAAGGUUAACCGAAUAGGGGAGCCGAAGGGAAACCGAGUCUUAACUGGGCGUUAAGUUGCAGGGUAUAGACCCGAAACCCGGUGAUCUAGCCAUGGGCAGGUUGAAGGUUGGGUAACACUAACUGGAGGACCGAACCGACUAAUGUUGAAAAAUUAGCGGAUGACUUGUGGCUGGGGGUGAAAGGCCAAUCAAACCGGGAGAUAGCUGGUUCUCCCCGAAAGCUAUUUAGGUAGCGCCUCGUGAAUUCAUCUCCGGGGGUAGAGCACUGUUUCGGCAAGGGGGUCAUCCCGACUUACCAACCCGAUGCAAACUGCGAAUACCGGAGAAUGUUAUCACGGGAGACACACGGCGGGUGCUAACGUCCGUCGUGAAGAGGGAAACAACCCAGACCGCCAGCUAAGGUCCCAAAGUCAUGGUUAAGUGGGAAACGAUGUGGGAAGGCCCAGACAGCCAGGAUGUUGGCUUAGAAGCAGCCAUCAUUUAAAGAAAGCGUAAUAGCUCACUGGUCGAGUCGGCCUGCGCGGAAGAUGUAACGGGGCUAAACCAUGCACCGAAGCUGCGGCAGCGACACUAUGUGUUGUUGGGUAGGGGAGCGUUCUGUAAGCCUGUGAAGGUGUGCUGUGAGGCAUGCUGGAGGUAUCAGAAGUGCGAAUGCUGACAUAAGUAACGAUAAAGCGGGUGAAAAGCCCGCUCGCCGGAAGACCAAGGGUUCCUGUCCAACGUUAAUCGGGGCAGGGUGAGUCGACCCCUAAGGCGAGGCCGAAAGGCGUAGUCGAUGGGAAACAGGUUAAUAUUCCUGUACUUGGUGUUACUGCGAAGGGGGGACGGAGAAGGCUAUGUUGGCCGGGCGACGGUUGUCCCGGUUUAAGCGUGUAGGCUGGUUUUCCAGGCAAAUCCGGAAAAUCAAGGCUGAGGCGUGAUGACGAGGCACUACGGUGCUGAAGCAACAAAUGCCCUGCUUCCAGGAAAAGCCUCUAAGCAUCAGGUAACAUCAAAUCGUACCCCAAACCGACACAGGUGGUCAGGUAGAGAAUACCAAGGCGCUUGAGAGAACUCGGGUGAAGGAACUAGGCAAAAUGGUGCCGUAACUUCGGGAGAAGGCACGCUGAUAUGUAGGUGAAGCGACUUGCUCGUGGAGCUGAAAUCAGUCGAAGAUACCAGCUGGCUGCAACUGUUUAUUAAAAACACAGCACUGUGCAAACACGAAAGUGGACGUAUACGGUGUGACGCCUGCCCGGUGCCGGAAGGUUAAUUGAUGGGGUUAGCGGUAACGCGAAGCUCUUGAUCGAAGCCCCGGUAAACGGCGGCCGUAACUAUAACGGUCCUAAGGUAGCGAAAUUCCUUGUCGGGUAAGUUCCGACCUGCACGAAUGGCGUAAUGAUGGCCAGGCUGUCUCCACCCGAGACUCAGUGAAAUUGAACUCGCUGUGAAGAUGCAGUGUACCCGCGGCAAGACGGAAAGACCCCGUGAACCUUUACUAUAGCUUGACACUGAACAUUGAGCCUUGAUGUGUAGGAUAGGUGGGAGGCUUUGAAGUGUGGACGCCAGUCUGCAUGGAGCCGACCUUGAAAUACCACCCUUUAAUGUUUGAUGUUCUAACGUUGACCCGUAAUCCGGGUUGCGGACAGUGUCUGGUGGGUAGUUUGACUGGGGCGGUCUCCUCCUAAAGAGUAACGGAGGAGCACGAAGGUUGGCUAAUCCUGGUCGGACAUCAGGAGGUUAGUGCAAUGGCAUAAGCCAGCUUGACUGCGAGCGUGACGGCGCGAGCAGGUGCGAAAGCAGGUCAUAGUGAUCCGGUGGUUCUGAAUGGAAGGGCCAUCGCUCAACGGAUAAAAGGUACUCCGGGGAUAACAGGCUGAUACCGCCCAAGAGUUCAUAUCGACGGCGGUGUUUGGCACCUCGAUGUCGGCUCAUCACAUCCUGGGGCUGAAGUAGGUCCCAAGGGUAUGGCUGUUCGCCAUUUAAAGUGGUACGCGAGCUGGGUUUAGAACGUCGUGAGACAGUUCGGUCCCUAUCUGCCGUGGGCGCUGGAGAACUGAGGGGGGCUGCUCCUAGUACGAGAGGACCGGAGUGGACGCAUCACUGGUGUUCGGGUUGUCAUGCCAAUGGCACUGCCCGGUAGCUAAAUGCGGAAGAGAUAAGUGCUGAAAGCAUCUAAGCACGAAACUUGCCCCGAGAUGAGUUCU